GUGCCUGCUUCGGCAGCACAUAUACUAAAAUUGGAACGAUACAGAGAUUAGCAAGGCCCCUGCGCAAGGAUGACACGCAAAUUUGUGAAGCGUUCCAUAUUUUU
Molecule: small nuclear RNA, 104 nt
Filed under: Panthera tigris altaica (Amur tiger)
Lineage: Eukaryota; Metazoa; Chordata; Mammalia; Carnivora; Felidae
Source: RNAcentral